Molecule: ribosomal RNA, 1704 nt
Filed under: Alphaproteobacteria bacterium
Lineage: Bacteria; Pseudomonadati; Pseudomonadota; Alphaproteobacteria
Description: partial 23S ribosomal RNA
Rfam family: Bacterial large subunit ribosomal RNA
Source: RNAcentral
GGAGGUUGGCUUAGAAGCAGCCAUCCUUUAAAGAAAGCGUAACAGCUCACUGGUCAAGCGCUCCUGCGCGGAAAAUGUAACGGGGCUUAAGUGAUACACCGAAGCUGCGGGCUCGAAAGAGCGGUAGCGGAGCGUUCCGUAGGCCGAUGAAGGCAGACCCGCGAGGGCUGCUGGAGGUAUCGGAAGUGAGAAUGCUGACAUGAGUAGCGACAAAGAGGGUGAGAGACCCUCUCGCCGAAAGUCCAAGGGUUCCUGCGCAAUGCUAAUCAGCGCAGGGUUAGUCGGCCCCUAACGCGAGGCAGAAAUGCGUAGUGGAUGGGAAGCAGGUUAAUAUUCCUGCACCGCCGGGUAGUGACGGAUUCUGGAAGUUGUCAGUCCUUAUCGGAUUGGACUGGCAGCCAAGGAGUCCCUGGAAAUAGCUCCCGGAUUAGACCGUACCCCAAACCGACACAGGUGGACUGGUAGAGUAUACCAAGGCGCUUGAGAGAACUAUGCUGAAGGAACUCGGCAAAUUACUCCCGUAAGUUCGCGAGAAGGGAGCCUGGCAUUGCGCAAGCAGUGUCCAGGGGCACAGACCAGGGGGUGGCGACUGUUUAUUAAAAACACAGGGCUCUGCGAAGUCGCAAGACGACGUAUAGGGUCUGACGCCUGCCCGGUGCCGGAAGGUUAAAAGGAGGAGUGAGAGCUCCGAAUUGAAGCCCCGGUAAACGGCGGCCGUAACUAUAACGGUCCUAAGGUAGCGAAAUUCCUUGUCGGGUAAGUUCCGACCUGCACGAAUGGCGUAACGACUUCCCCGCUGUCUCCAGUGUAGACUCAGCGAAAUUGAAUUCUCCGUGAAGAUGCGGAGUUCCCGCGGUCAGACGGAAAGACCCCGUGCACCUUUACUACAGCUUGACAGUGGCAUUAGCGAUAAUUUGUGUAGGAUAGGUGGGAGGCUAUGAAACUUGGGCGCCAGCUCAGGUGGAGCCAACCUUGAAAUACCACCCUGAUUAUUGUUGAUGUCUAACCGCGGUCCAUGAACCUGGAUCCGGGACCCUGUCUGGUGGGUAGUUUGACUGGGGCGGUCGCCUCCCAAAGAGUAACGGAGGCGCGCGAUGGUGGGCUCAGAGCGGUCGGAAAUCGCUCGUUGAGUGCAAUGGCAUAAGCCCGCCUGACUGCGAGACUGACAGGUCGAGCAGAGUCGAAAGACGGCCAUAGUGAUCCGGUGGUCCCGCGUGGAAGGGCCAUCGCUCAACGGAUAAAAGGUACGCCGGGGAUAACAGGCUGAUGAUGCCCAAGAGUCCAUAUCGACGGCAUUGUUUGGCACCUCGAUGUCGGCUCAUCGCAUCCUGGGGCUGGAGCAGGUCCCAAGGGUUCGGCUGUUCGCCGAUUAAAGCGGUACGUGAGCUGGGUUUAGAACGUCGUGAGACAGUUCGGUCCCUAUCUGCCGUGGGUGUUGGAAAUUUGAGAGGAGCUGCCCCUAGUACGAGAGGACCGGGGUGGACGUACCUCUGGUGGACCUGUUGUCGCGCCAGCGGCAUAGCAGGGUAGCUAUGUACGGAAGGGAUAACCGCUGAAUGCAUCUAAGCGGGAAGCCCCCCUCAAAACCAGAUUUCCCUUGAGAGUCGAGGAAGACUACCUCGUUGAUAGGCCAGAUGUGGAAGCGUGGCGACACGUGAAGCUGACUGGUACUAAUAUCUCGAUUGGCUUGAUUUCUUUGAUGUU